Molecule: ribosomal RNA, 590 nt
Filed under: uncultured beta proteobacterium
Lineage: Bacteria; Pseudomonadati; Pseudomonadota; Betaproteobacteria
Description: bacterial SSU rRNA
Rfam family: Bacterial small subunit ribosomal RNA
Source: RNAcentral
AGAGGACGACCAGCCACACUGGAACUGAGACACGGCCCAGACUCCUACGGGAGGCAGCAGUGGGGAAUUUUGGACAAUGGGCGCAAGCCUGAUCCAGCAAUGCCGCGUGCAGGAAGAAGGCCUUCGGGUUGUAAACUGCUUUUGUCAGGGAAGAAAUCUUCUGGGUUAAUACCUCGGGAGGAUGACGGUACCUGAAGAAUAAGCACCGGCUAACUACGUGCCAGCAGCCGCGGUAAUACGUAGGGUGCGAGCGUUAAUCGGAAUUACUGGGCGUAAAGCGUGCGCAGGCGGCUUUGCAAGACAGAGGUGAAAUCCCCGGGCUCAACCUGGGAACUGCCUUUGUGACUGCAAGGCUAGAGUACGGCAGAGGGGGAUGGAAUUCCGCGUGUAGCAGUGAAAUGCGUAGAUAUGCGGAGGAACACCAAUGGCGAAGGCAAUCCCCUGGGCCUGUACUGACGCUCAUGCACGAAAGCGUGGGGAGCAAACAGGAUUAGAUACCCUGGUAGUCCACGCCCUAAACGAUGUCAACUGGUUGUUGGACGGCUUGCUGUUCAGUAACGAAGCUAACGCGUGAAGUUGACCGCCUGGGG